UACGUAGGGGGCAAGCGUUGUCCGGAUUUAUUGGGCGUAAAGAGCGUGUAGGCGGCUUUACAGGUCCGUUGUGAAAACUCGAGGCUCAACCUCGAGACGCCGGUGGAAACCGUAAAGCUAGAGUCCGGAAGAGGAGAGUGGAAUUCCUGGUGUAGCGGUGAAAUGCGCAGAUAUCAGGAAGAACACCCGUGGCAAAGGCGGCUCUCUGGGACGGUACUGACGCUGAGACGCGAAAGCGUGGGGAGCGAACAGG
This 253-nucleotide ribosomal RNA is filed under the name uncultured bacterium. RNAcentral describes it as "partial 16S ribosomal RNA". It matches the Rfam family "Bacterial small subunit ribosomal RNA", at positions 524 to 776 of the family's 1533-position model. The record is from RNAcentral.